Non-coding RNA from Vicugna pacos (alpaca), 882 nucleotides. Lineage: Eukaryota; Metazoa; Chordata; Mammalia; Artiodactyla; Camelidae. The record is from RefSeq and is a predicted model, not a curated record.
UUUCUCCACACCCUCUACAGCAUUUAUUAUGUGUAGACUUUUUGAUGAUGGCCAUUCUGACUGGCGUGAGGUGAUAUUUUAUUGUAGUUUUGAUUUGCAUUUGUUUAAUCAUUAGCAAUGUUGAGGAUUUUUUGAUAUCAUGACAUAACAUAUUUUUUUAAGAUAAUAGAUUUAAUAGGGAGCUCUUAUUCAUCCCACUAAUAUAAGGAAGUUAAUUUAAUUUCCCUGUGGAUUAGAGGGCCCCUGAGGAUUAUUUGGUACUGAUGUGUCACAUUAUGUUUGUCAACAGAAGAAUCAGAACAGCUUGGUGUACUGUAGGAACCAAACGAGCUAAAAAGGAUCAAGUUCUCAACUAAGCAUCUAAUGUUAAUGUAUUAUAUUAAUGUCCUGGGCAAACCUCCUUCAGCCCUUAGGUUUCCUCACCAGUAAAAUGGGAGUGUUACAAGGGUCUCUCCAGUUCCACUCCCUCCCGAUUCUCAUCUGUGAUCUUUCUUCCUGCAGAAAGACAACACAACACCAGAGAAGUGUGUUCUUUGCCUACUGGCAGAGAAGGGGAUUCUGCUAGAGCAGCUGGGGGGGGGGGGGCAAUUGAAAGCAUGUUUUAAAUAUUUCCUUGGUUAAAAGCAUUAAGUUUGAUAAAGACUCUCUCUCUCACUAACCUCUAGAUUUACAUCUGAUAAUACUGGGUAGUGUGAACAAAAAUACUGCAACCAUAUCAGUAAACAAAAAAUGCUGAAACCAAGUCAUCAGCGGUUGCCGCCACCCCCAAGUAAGGACAGGCCUGCAGUCCAGCCUCUGCAGCCACUCACAAAGGUGCACUCUGAGCGGACUCAGAAUAAGAAAGGACAGGAUACUGGCCCUAGAUAGCUAGGUGCUUGUCAA